RNAcentral lists this long non-coding RNA (1043 nucleotides) under Sorghum bicolor (sorghum). RNAcentral describes it as "long non-coding RNA (SBIC_LNC000219)". The record is from RNAcentral. Lineage: Eukaryota; Viridiplantae; Streptophyta; Magnoliopsida; Poales; Poaceae.
CCCUCAAGUUACCCAUUACCCCCUCCAUUUUCUUUUUUCUCUUUUUUUCUUCCUCGGCUCAUAUCUCUGCACUUCUUUUGUUUUAUAAUAUCAGAAGCAAGGGUGUGGCAGUGUGGCUGUGGCCCCUAAUAAUAUUCCAAAUUUCCAACAUUUUUAGCUGUUACCUGGCCUAGCUUGCUAUUCUUGCUUUGCUCGGCCAACUUAUUUGGGACUUAACAUGUGAUCGAUCGCGUUACAUAUAUGGUAGUACUAGUUGUAGUGUAGACGGGUACAUACACUGUGUAGAAGAGCAGAACCUGCACACACACACACUGACACACACACACACACAGCAAUCCAUGCAUAUCCACCAUGGCGAGGCUCCAAUUCAUCUUCUUCCUCAUGCUGGCAGUCGUCGUCUUCCUCGCGGAGAUCCAGGUAAUGUAGCAAGGAAUUGCAUGAGAAAAUAUAAUAUGUCUUCCAUUCAUUUACAUUUGUUACAGUAUGCAUCACGCGUGGGCAGGUGGGAGCUCUCCACACCCUGGUGGGCACUCACCCUGGUCGGCGUGGCCAGAUGGGGGCUCGGGACACGACGGAGGCCACGGCGACGACGGGUCAGAGUCACAACACUAGGGAUGAGGCGCUAGCGACUUCGAGCAGUGAUAUUGAUGUGGACUUGUGGUUUAUGUUAUGAACCUGUGGCUUAUGUUAUGAACUUGUGGCGACUUUAUGUUAGAUUUGUCAUAUCUAUGUGAAUUUGUGAUAUCUGUGGACUCCAAUAUGUUUUAUGUAUGAUUUAUAUGUGGAUUUGUGAUAUAGACAUGUGGAUUUGUGAUAUGUGGCUGUGCAUGUAAAAAAUAGAAAAAAAAACAAAAAAAUUCCAGCUUUGUCGAGAGCCAGAAUAUCAGCACUCGGCAAAGAUGGAAAGCCAGAAUACCAGAAUACCAGCUUUGCCGAGAGCCUACCAGGCUAGCUCUCGGCAAAGUUCUCCUUUGCCGAGAGCCAGCCUGGCAGGCUCUCGGCAAAGAUUUUUUUUUUUUAAAAAAAUAAAAAGUCUUUCCGAG